RNAcentral lists this ribosomal RNA (114 nucleotides) under Pogona vitticeps (central bearded dragon). Lineage: Eukaryota; Metazoa; Chordata; Lepidosauria; Squamata; Agamidae. The record is from RNAcentral.
CUAUCAUAUAACUUUGCACAUACCAGAUAUUGUCUGAUUUCAGAAGCUAAGCAAGGUCAAGUCUGGUUAGUACUUGGAUGGGAGACCACUGGAUAAUACCAGGGAUCUCCAAGU